Molecule: long non-coding RNA, 564 nt
Filed under: Mus musculus (house mouse)
Lineage: Eukaryota; Metazoa; Chordata; Mammalia; Rodentia; Muridae
Description: predicted gene, 35890
Source: RNAcentral
UCAGCUAAACUUCCUUUUCUUUUCCCAUUAGUGCAGUGGAGGGGCAGUCCCUACCUCAGGGUACAGUCAAGCAGAGCUGUCUUGGAUCCCUUGAGAAUGAAGGGAUCUAAUUUUCAAGGUGUCGUUUCUUGCUGCCUCAGAGGCUGAGCAGCUGAUGAAUUCUCCAAGAACAUUUCCUAUUUUCCUUCAUGGGUGCACUGGAGAGAUUCUGGCCAAAAGUCCCUUGCUGGAAUUCUGCUCUUCCUCUGAGACUACCCUCUCACCUUCCAUCACACAGCUGCUCGCCAACCUUUAUUGCCCUUUUCUCCCUCCUCCCGGCUGCUGCCAAGAUUUGCAAGCUUUCCAGACAUGACCUGAGGGUUUCUUCUGGCUGCUUUCCAGUGCCAUCAAGGUGACUAUCGAUAUUAACCAUCGAUAUGUAGACGUGAACUCUGACAGUUCCUAUAGACCUUCAGAUACUGAGUGUAUGGUUUAGCCUUGGAGACUUCAGCGGUCACAGCAGUGGAGAGGGUGAGAAAUUCAGAUUCUUUGUGGGCAUCCUGUAUCCUGGGGAAUGUGUGUGCA